RNA transcript from Chelonus insularis, 1291 nucleotides. It is a transcript of the gene named RNA-binding protein 1-like, with no coding region annotated. Lineage: Eukaryota; Metazoa; Arthropoda; Insecta; Hymenoptera; Braconidae. The transcript is spliced from 8 exons. The record is from RefSeq and is a predicted model, not a curated record.
CAUUAGUUUAUCAGAAGCGUCCAUCUUAUAUUUUUGCCGACUCGAAUUUGCACAUAUUUUUUUAAAUAAUAAAAAAUUAAGUGUAACUAUUACAGUUUUUCUUAAAUUAAGUUUUAGAUAAUAAAACAAAAAAUUUUCUUCAAAUAUUAACAAUGUCACGGUAUCGUGAAUGGGAUCCUACUUGCAAAGUUUACGUAGGUGAUUUAGGAAGCAGUGCUAGCAAACAUGAAAUAGAAAAUGCAUUCAGUAAAUAUGGACCACUGCGAAAUGUUUGGGUUGCUCGAAACCCACCUGGUUUUGCAUUCGUUGAAUUUGAAGAUCCUCGAGAUGCAGAGGAUGCCGUUCGUGGAUUACACGGAACACGUUGUUGUGGAACAAGAAUAAGAGUAGAAAUGUCGUCCGGUAGAACUCGUCGUGGAGGUGGAGGACGUCGGCCUGGUCCCCGAUAUUCAAGAUCUAGAUCUCGUAGUCCACGCAGGAAAUCUAUUGGUCGUUAUCCAAGGUCUUUGUCCAAGAGUCCAAAAAGAUCACCCAUAAAUAGAUACUCCAGAUUCUUCCAGUGUGAGCUCCUAGUUCUGCUCGCCUCCCCGUCACUACUACUACUACUUCUACUACUACUACCACCACUACUAGUACUACUAUUAAUAUUACUACUACAACUUUUACUACUACUACUACAACAGCCACCGUGAACAAAAAAGUUUUGAAAUCACAAACUGAAAAAGAUAUAAAGAAAGUAAAAUACUUCAAUUAGUUAAAAUCAAAAAAUAAAAGUAAAAUUUUGAUAAGUAGCCUAUCAGUAUACUAAAUUUCCAAUCAGUAGGAGCCUCAUCGAUAGAAGCAAAGUCGUCCUUCAGUUGACAGUUUGUUAGCAAGUCUGUCAGCAAGUCAGUAAUCCUUCAAAGUCAGCUUCCUGCUACCACAACUUCUAAGCAACUAGGAGCAUCAUAUACAUCAAUCACAGACAGCCAACGCGAUAUGAAUUCGUCGAUCCAAAUAUCAUCGCGUCUGUCCCAACUACUUCUACCACUACUACUCCGCCAACCACAGUGUUUUAUUUAGGUGUACAGUGAGACCGUCACGUUUCUUCAAUUGAGCAAUGCAAAAUAAUCACAUACAUACCAUCCUCCACCUAAUCGACCACUACCACAAUUACUAUCACUAACUACCAUCAUAGGUUCAUAUUUAUCUGGUCAAGAUCGCGUAGUCCACGCAGACGAUCUCUGACUCGUAGCCGUAGUCGGGACCGCCGUUCGAGAUCAGACUCCCGUGAAAGACGUUAAAUGCUAAA